CCUGUGUGGUUUACCACCCUGAACGCACCCCAUCUUGUCUGGUCUCGGAAGUUGAGCAGGGUCGGGCCUAGCUAGUACUUGGAUGGGAGGCCUGUUUGCCCGUUUCCCUCAGCU
Ribosomal RNA from Myotis lucifugus (little brown bat), 114 nucleotides. The record is from Ensembl. NCBI's taxonomy places the organism in Eukaryota, Metazoa, Chordata, Mammalia, Chiroptera, Vespertilionidae.